CAAUAUUAACCCGCGGCAGAUUGCUCUUAAGUGAUCAAAAAGGCACGCUCCCGCCGCCCCGGCCGGCCGGAACCACCGCAAACGCUACGUCCCGCAAUUUUUAAAUCUGCAAUAUCUUCGAAAAUAUUCAUUUAAAUCAUAUGCUGCAAAGGGCCAUAUAGAUUUAUAUUAAAUGAACAAUAUAUUUAAGGUAUUUAAUUAG
Molecule: unclassified non-coding RNA, 202 nt
Filed under: Melitaea cinxia (Glanville fritillary)
Lineage: Eukaryota; Metazoa; Arthropoda; Insecta; Lepidoptera; Nymphalidae
Description: misc RNA ENSMCXG00005002737.1
Source: RNAcentral